GAUUACGGCCUUAACACACUGACAACGCCCCAUCUCGUCUGAUCUCGGAAGCUAAGCAGAGUUGGGCUGGGUCAGUACUUGGAUGGGUGACCCCCUGGGAUAACCUGGUGCUGUAAGCA
This is a ribosomal RNA of Cottoperca gobio, 119 nucleotides long. NCBI's taxonomy places the organism in Eukaryota, Metazoa, Chordata, Actinopteri, Perciformes, Bovichtidae. The record is from Ensembl.